CCCGGUAGCUAAAUGCGGAAGAGAUAAGUGCUGAAAGCAUCUAAGCACGAAACUUGCCCCGAGAUGAGUUCUCCCUGACCCUUUAAGGGUCCUGAAGGAACGUUGAAGACGACGACGUUGAUAGGCCGGGUGUGUAAGCGCAGCGAUGCGUUGAGCUAACCGGUACUAAUGAACCGUGAGGCUUAACCUUACAACGCCGAAG
Molecule: ribosomal RNA, 202 nt
Filed under: Escherichia coli
Lineage: Bacteria; Pseudomonadati; Pseudomonadota; Gammaproteobacteria; Enterobacterales; Enterobacteriaceae
Also listed under: 2 other names
Description: partial 23S ribosomal RNA
Rfam family: Bacterial large subunit ribosomal RNA
Source: RNAcentral